GACGAACGCUGGCGGCGUGCUUAACACAUGCAAGUCGAACGGAAAGGCCCUGCUUUUGUGGGGUGCUCGAGUGGCGAACGGGUGAGUAACACGUGAGUAACCUGCCCUUGACUUUGGGAUAACUUCAGGAAACUGGGGCUAAUACCGGAUAGGAGCUCCUGCUGCAUGGUGGGGGUUGGAAAGUUUCGGCGGUUGGGGAUGGACUCGCGGCUUAUCCGCUUGUUGGUGGGGUAGUGGCUUACCAAGGCUUUGACGGGUAGCCGGCCUGAGAGGGUGACCGGCGACAUUGGGACUGAGAUACGGCCCAGACUCCUACGGGAGGCAGCAGUGGGGAAUAUUGCACAAUGGGCGGAAGCCUGAUGCAGCAACGCCGCGUGCGGGAUGACGGCCUUCGGGUUGUAAACCGCUUUCGCCUGUGACGAAGCGUGAGUGACGGUAAUGGGUAAAGAAGCACCGGCUAACUACGUG
This 468-nucleotide ribosomal RNA is filed under the name uncultured bacterium. Its description in RNAcentral is "partial 16S ribosomal RNA". It matches the Rfam family "Bacterial small subunit ribosomal RNA", at positions 28 to 507 of the family's 1533-position model. The record is from RNAcentral.